Rattus norvegicus (Norway rat) is the source of this 69-nucleotide non-coding RNA. The record is from Rfam. NCBI's taxonomy places the organism in Eukaryota, Metazoa, Chordata, Mammalia, Rodentia, Muridae.
GGGGAUUUAGCUCAGUGGUAGAGUCCUUGCCUAGCAAGCACAAGGCCCUGGGUUCGGUCCCCAGCUCCG